This 289-nucleotide unclassified non-coding RNA is filed under the name Hevea brasiliensis (rubber tree). Lineage: Eukaryota; Viridiplantae; Streptophyta; Magnoliopsida; Malpighiales; Euphorbiaceae. The record is from RNAcentral.
CAAAACCAUGCCUUUAGCUAGCAAGAUUUCUGCAGGGCUUAUAGCUGGUGGCAUCGGUGCAGCCGUUGGAAAUCCAGCCGAUGUUGCGAUGGUCCGCAUGCAGGCAGACGGGCGUCUGCCACCAGCUCAGCGCCGGAACUACAAGAGCGUGAUCGACGCAAUCACACGCAUGGCAAAGCAAGAAGGCAUUACUAGCCUGUGGCGCGGGUCAUCGCUGACAGUCAACCGGGCUAUGCUGGUGACAGCAUCGCAGCUAGCAUCAUACGACCAAUUCAAGGAAAUGAUCCUG